This 274-nucleotide ribosomal RNA is filed under the name uncultured bacterium. RNAcentral's name for it is "partial 16S ribosomal RNA". It matches the Rfam family "Bacterial small subunit ribosomal RNA", at positions 523 to 796 of the family's 1533-position model. The record is from RNAcentral.
CUACGGAGGGGGCUAGCGUUGUUCGGAAUUACUGGGCGUAAAGCGCACGUAGGCGGAUUAAAAAGUUAGAGGUGAAAUCCCAGGGCUUAACCCUGGAACUGCCUUUAAAACUAGUAGUCUAGAGUUCGGGAGAGGUGAGUGGAAUUCCAAGUGUAGAGGUGAAAUUCGUAGAUAUUUGGAGGAACACCAGUGGCGAAGGCGGCUCACUGGCUCGAUACUGACGCUGAGGUGCAAAAGCGUGGGGAGCAAACAGGAUUAGAAACCCUGGUAGUCC